RNAcentral lists this ribosomal RNA (211 nucleotides) under Arthrobotrys thaumasius. Its description in RNAcentral is "partial large subunit ribosomal RNA". Lineage: Eukaryota; Fungi; Ascomycota; Orbiliomycetes; Orbiliales; Orbiliaceae. The record is from RNAcentral.
AAGCGCUUGCAAUCAGACUCGCCUUCAGUUGAUCAGCCUUCCUUCUGGUUGGUGCACUCUGCUGUUGGCGGGCCAGCAUCAGUUGGGGCGGCGGGACAAAGGCGGCAGGAAUGUGGCUCGUUCGCGAGUGUUAUAGCCUGCCGUGUCAUGCCGCCAGCCCCGACUGAGGUCCGCGGUUCGCCUAGGAUGCUGGCUUAAUGGUUGUAAGCGA